AAGCAUUUAGGAAGUGCUUGCCUGGUUAAAUCACAAAUCUGAAUUUAACUAGUUCGUCAUGAGCUUGCCUGUGGGAUACCUGCAAGCU
RNAcentral lists this small RNA (88 nucleotides) under Prochlorococcus marinus str. AS9601. RNAcentral describes it as "Cyanobacterial functional RNA 20". It matches the Rfam family "Cyanobacterial functional RNA 20". The record is from Rfam by way of RNAcentral. Lineage: Bacteria; Bacillati; Cyanobacteriota; Cyanophyceae; Synechococcales; Prochlorococcaceae.